Molecule: long non-coding RNA, 670 nt
Organism: Neltuma alba
Lineage: Eukaryota; Viridiplantae; Streptophyta; Magnoliopsida; Fabales; Fabaceae
Exons: 2
Source: RefSeq, a predicted model, not a curated record
GCUUUAACGCCGAAUUCUCAGCUGUAGUCUUUGUUGAAGGAUGUGAAUUUCUGAAUGCAACUGAAGAUGUCAUUUUGCAGACCUCCUUCACGGUAUGGAACAGAAAGAGAGCAUGACAAAUCAUUCAAUCGACCGCAUGGCUGACAGAACAAGCAAGAUGCUGAAAGUUCAACCGGUCGAAGAUCUCGUUCAAAGACUGAUUGCAAAGCAAGCGUGCAUGUAAAAAGAAGGCCUGAUGGAAAAUGGGUAAUUCACAGUUUUGUGAAGGGGCAUAAUCAUGAGCUUUUACCAGCUCAAGCUAAAAGUAGGCAUGGCUAUAUGAACUUUUGUGAUGUGGUUUCUUCUGAUACAAUCCACGUUGUGAACAAAUAUAAGUUGCCUCUCUUGCGCUUUUGUUGGAGUAAAUCUGCACUAUCAAUUUUUACUGCUUGGGCGUGCCUUAAUAUCAGAUGAAAGUUGUAACUUGAUCCAGAACAUCUGUUGUUUAUUACGGAUCAUGUUAAUAAAUGGUAGAAGGGUUUGGUGUUAAAGAUCUUGUAGAGGUGGUUGGUUGUACCGUAGUUCUGAUUCUUUAGGCUGCAUGUUAAGCUGUAAUGAGAGUAUUGUAGUUUGUCAUGAAAAUUUUCAAAUGUUCUUCAUUUUCCAUUAGUUCAUAUUUCAUUUAUCGUCA